UCUUUCUGUUCUGUAAUAACAUAAACCUAUCUUUUAUAUUCCUAAUGUGAUUAUUUAAUAGACAGCUACAAGGAAUCAAUAAUAGGAAUCAAUAAUUGACUUUAACAUUGAUCCAUGUUCAGUAACCUGCUGCUGUUAUUACAUCUGAGUAAUUUUUUAACACAAAGCAGUAGUUUAUUUUGCCUGUCACACUUUUAGCACUAUAUAAAUAAUAAUAAAGUAGGUGUUUGGAAAGUACAAACACAUUUGGCCACAAGAAGAGCACAAAUAAAAUUGUUUCAGGACCGAGGGCAGUGGUUCUCAAACUUUUGUACUGGUGACCCCUUUCACAUAGCAAGCCUCUGAGUGUGACCCUCCCACCUU
Long non-coding RNA from Dermochelys coriacea (leatherback sea turtle), 363 nucleotides. RefSeq lists it as uncharacterized. NCBI's taxonomy places the organism in Eukaryota, Metazoa, Chordata, Testudines, Dermochelyidae. The record is from RefSeq and is a predicted model, not a curated record. The transcript is spliced from 3 exons.